Molecule: ribosomal RNA, 1234 nt
Filed under: uncultured Actinomycetes bacterium
Lineage: Bacteria; Bacillati; Actinomycetota; Actinomycetes
Description: bacterial SSU rRNA
Rfam family: Bacterial small subunit ribosomal RNA
Source: RNAcentral
UCGCGGCCUAUCAGCUUGUUGGUGGGGUGAUGGCCUACCAAGGCGUCGACGGGUAGCCGGCCUGAGAGGGCGACCGGCCACACUGGGACUGAGACACGGCCCAGACUCCUACGGGAGGCAGCAGUGGGGAAUAUUGCACAAUGGGCGAAAGCCUGAUGCAGCGACGCCGCGUGAGGGAUGACGGCCUUCGGGUUGUAAACCUCUUUCAGCAGGGAAGAAGGCCUUCGGGUGGACGGUACCUGCAGAAGAAGCGCCGGCUAACUACAUGCCAGCAGCCGCGGUAAUACGUAGGGCGCAAGCGUUGUCCGGAAUUAUUGGGCGUAAAGAGCUCGUAGGCGGCCUGUCGCGUCUGGUGUGAAAUCCCAUGGCUCAACUGUGGGCGUGCAUCGGGUACGGGCAGACUAGAGUGCGGUAGGGGAGACUGGAAUUCCUGGUGUAGCGGUGGAAUGCGCAGAUAUCAGGAGGAACACCGAUGGCGAAGGCAGGUCUCUGGGCCGCAACUGACGCUGAGGAGCGAAAGCAUGGGGAGCGAACAGGAUUAGAUACCCUGGUAGUCCAUGCCGUAAACGUUGGGCACUAGGUGUGGGGCUCAUUCCACGAGUUCCGUGCCGCAGCUAACGCAUUAAGUGCCCCGCCUGGGGAGUACGGCCGCAAGGCUAAAACUCAAAGGAAUUGACGGGGGCCCGCACAAGCGGCGGAGCAUGCGGAUUAAUUCGAUGCAACGCGAAGAACCUUACCAAGGCUUGACAUACACCGGAAACAUCCAGAGAUGGGUGCCCCGUAAGGUCGGUGUACAGGUGGUGCAUGGUUGUCGUCAGCUCGUGUCGUGAGAUGUUGGGUUAAGUCCCGCAACGAGCGCAACCCUCGUCCCAUGUUGCCAGCGGGUUAUGCCGGGGACUCAUGGGAGACUGCCGGGGUCAACUCGGAGGAAGGUGGGGAUGACGUCAAAUCAUCAUGCCCCUUAUGUCUUGGGCUUCACGCAUGCUACAAUGGCCGGUACAGAGGGCUGCGAUACCGUAAGGUGGAGCGAAUCCCAAAAAGCCGGUCUCAGUUCGGAUUGGGGUCUGCAACUCGACCCCAUGAAGUCGGAGUCGCUAGUAAUCGCAGAUCAGCAACGCUGCGGUGAAUACGUUCCCGGGCCUUGUACACACCGCCCGUCAAGUCACGAAAGUUGGUAACACCCGAAGCUCAUGGCCCAACCCUUGUGGGGGGAAUGGUCGAAGGUGGGGCUGGA